Molecule: transfer RNA, 72 nt
Organism: Neocallimastix californiae
Lineage: Eukaryota; Fungi; Neocallimastigomycota; Neocallimastigomycetes; Neocallimastigales; Neocallimastigaceae
Rfam family: tRNA
About the family: Transfer RNA (tRNA) molecules are approximately 80 nucleotides in length. Their secondary structure includes four short double-helical elements and three loops (D, anti-codon, and T loops). Further hydrogen bonds mediate the characteristic L-shaped molecular structure. tRNAs have two regions of fundamental functional importance: the anti-codon, which is responsible for specific mRNA codon recognition, and the 3' end, to which the tRNAs corresponding amino acid is attached (by aminoacyl-tRNA synthetases). tRNAs cope with the degeneracy of the genetic code in two manners: having more than one tRNA (with a specific anti-codon) for a particular amino acid; and 'wobble' base-pairing, i.e. permitting non-standard base-pairing at the 3rd anti-codon position.
Source: Rfam
GGGGUGUUAGCUCAGCGGUAGAGCAAUUGACUGCAGAUCAAUAGGUCUUCGGUUCAAAUCUGGAACGCCCCU